This 349-nucleotide unclassified non-coding RNA is filed under the name Hevea brasiliensis (rubber tree). Lineage: Eukaryota; Viridiplantae; Streptophyta; Magnoliopsida; Malpighiales; Euphorbiaceae. The record is from RNAcentral.
AAAGAAGAAUUGAGAAGAGAAAUAGAGAGAACCGAAGAAAUUAGAGGAAGAAUAGAUAGAAAGAGACUUAGAAAGGGAAGAAUUGAAGACAGAAGAGAUAUUAUUUCAGAUAAUUCUUGAAAUGCCUUUCUACAGAGUAUCUUCUGCCUUUAUUUAGCCGUUAUUAGGAGAAGAGCAACUGCCUCAAACAAUUCUAACCACUUCAAAGUAGUUACAACUAACUCAGCUAUUGUUUACAACAGAUAACCGCCACAAACAGAUUCUUAAACCUAUUUCCCGCCUUUCUCAACAAUUCUGCUCAUAAUCUUAUCUAACUACACAGCUUCCAUACUUCCUUCUCCUAUACAGA